ACGGAUUGUUCAUAAACGGAGAAACAGAACAAAAUGGCCGAUUUGAAUUAUGAAGAGCCUGUUGUGGACAAUGGAAAUAGAGAAUAUUCUCCAGAAAGAACGCCUGUUAAGCCAAGCAGACGGUCCCGAUCACGGUCACGGUCACCCAUUCGGAGAUCACGCUCGCGGUCACCACGGCGACGGAGGUCAGUGAAUCUCAUGUCGAAACGUGUGAUGGUCAGCAACAUUCCUUACGAGAUGAAGUGGCAGCACAUCAAAGACAUCUUCAGAAAGGAAGUUGGUGACGUGUCUUAUGUGAAUAUGUUUGAAACGCCUGAUGGAAAAUCGAGUGGUUCGUGUGUUGUUGAAAUGAAGACAAUGGAUCUUACAAGAAAGGCAAUUGAGGUUAUGCAUAAAUUCAAAGUCAAGGACAGAUUCCUGACCGUUCGAGAGGAGCGAGAGAGUGACCUACGGCGACAGGAGAUGUAUGGCGGCGGUGGUGGCGGCGGUAUGGGGAACAUGUCUCAGGGAGGCGGUGGAAACGUCGGCCUUGGUAUGGGUGGUGGCGGUAUGGGCGGAGGCGGAAUGGGCGGAGGCGGAAUGGGCGGAGGCGGAAUGGGCGGAGGUGGUGUUGGCGGAGGGGUGGGCAUGGUCGGCAGUCAGAACAUGGGAAUGGGCGGCCCCAUCAACAACCGUAUCCUACAGCAGCUCGGAAUCGAAGGACCGCUUUCAAACACGGUGUUUAUCCACAAUCUGGAUUUCCGUGUGACGUGGCGUAAACUGAAGGAUGUCUUCAAACUGGCUGGCAAUGCAAUAAAGGCCGAUAUCAAAGUAGACAAGGACGGCAAGAGUCGCGGCUUGGGAACGGUCCAGUUUGAAACUCCGCUGGAGGCCGUGCAAGCAAUCUCUAUGUUCAACGGUCAGACGCUGUACGACCGGCAGAUGAUGGUCCGAAUAGACAAGACGGAGGAGCCCAAACCACCGGCGCCACGACUGCCCAGUGGCCUGAGGUCUAUAGGCAUGGGGCUUGGUAUAGGUGGAGCCCCCCUGCAGAAUCUAUCGCAGCUGCCGGGAGGUAUGGACAGUGGAAUUAGAGGUGGUGGAAGUGGCGGUAUGGGUGGUGGUUUCGGUAGCAUGUCUGGUAUGGGCGGAAUGGGCUCCAUGGACAUGGGCGGUGGGAUGUCCAGCAUGGGGGUUGGAAUGUCUGGCAGUAUGGGCGGGCUGUCUGGCAGCAUGGGGGGCCUCUCUGGAAACAUGGGGGGCAUGUCUGGAAACGUCGGCGGACUGUCCAGCAGCAUGGGCGGGAUGUCUGGAGGUUUGGGCGGGAUGGGGAGCGGGUCCAGCAGCCUGGGUGGGUCAAUGGGGAUGGGGGGAGGCAUGGGGGGCAUGUCCGGAGGCAUGGGGAUGGGAAGCAGCCUCGGGGGCAUGGGGGGCAGCCUUGGCAUGUCGGAUAACUUCAGCUCGGGCAUGGGGGGCAUGUCGUCGAACCUCGGUUCCGGGAUGGGCGGGGGGAUGAAGGACUCGAUGGGGGGGAUGGGAAGUAUGGGGGGAUCCAUGAUGAACUCCAGUAUGGGAGCGUGGGGCUCGGCCAACAUCGGCUCCAGUGGCAUGUCAUCGAACUCUGGAGACUCGGGUCACUAUGGCAACUACGGCUUGAAUGACCGGCGGGGAUCCAGCGGUCUGACGAGGCCGGACAACUGCACGGUUAUUGUUAAAAAUUUGCCGUAUUCCUUUACCUGGCAAACUUUAAAGGAUCGCUUUCAAGAUGUCGGCAAAGUAAAGUUUGCAGAGAUAGAGAAGGAGAACGGAAGAUCGUCUGGUGUUGGAUACGUUCGAUUUGGGAAUCCCGGUGAUGCUGAGAGAGCUGUCACUGUGAUGAACCGCGCUCGAAUGGAGAGUCGCGAGAUUCUGGUGCGCCCGUACCGCAACUGAACUACUGCACCGACAGAUAGACGGACGGUCGGACAGAGAUGUAUAAUGUACAUUGUGUGGUGUUUUGGAAGACAAUUUUCAACGUCCGAUACACAUUCUAUGAUGCAGUGAGUGUUGAACAGUGCAUAUAUUUAUGUUCAUCGAGAUCAGAGAUGACUGUUUUACAGUUUUUUCCAACUGAAGACCCCGCUGCUGAUUGAAGGUGGACAAUUGGUGGAAAAUUAGAAUUCGUAGCCGUUCAUAACAACAUGGACUACAUUACCUGUGGGUUUGCCUCGUGUGUUAAAUACAAACACAGUGCUUAUUUUCUUAAUAAAUUAAAGUUUCUUAAUUUCAUUUCAUUUCAACUUAUUUUAUUGAUAAUAUCUAAGUACGGUUCAAGCACCCUUUCCUGGGCACACACUUCAGCUAUGUGGACUGUCUUGUGGGUUUGUGAGAUAGAAAUCAGUGUAGUGACCGUACUCCUACCCACAGAGUCAUUAAACUCACCCUGGGUGGGAGCCGUUGCCGGAAUAUGAACCCAGUACCUACCAGCUUUUAAGUCGGAUGACUUAAGCACUACACCACCGAGGCCAGUCAUUUCUUAGUACUGUUUAAUGGUUUCAUAGUGAAAGCAAAGCAGAGAGUGUGUUUCAGCACGCACCAGGAAGAUGAGCUCUGUGUACGUUUGAUGUUCAUCAAGGUUACUAGCUCUAUGCAUGUGGUACAGUGGUGCACAUGAAUAGGCGCAGGGGCUCCCAUUUUUGAAAGGCGGGGCUGGAGGCAGGCUGAUUUUUGCCUGAAUCUGGAUAACAACAUUUAUUCAUGUUAGUAGUAUUGCCAAACAGCUAUUUACGGUUUCAAACAAAUAACUACAUAUUUUGAAAUGGAUUACAACCUGUAUUGUGGGUGGAAUGAUGGAAGUACUUGGUGAAAAGGUUUCAGGCAAGCUUAUUUUAACCAAAUAUCAGCAUUUUAUUUGUUUUGUUUUUUGCCUGAAAAUUGAGGAUUUGCCACAGUUCAGGAUAGAGUUGGGGGAGAGUUGUUCUGUUCCAUCCACCCCACACCCCUGUCUCAAACACUUAUGUGCACAUGACAAAUGUUUUGUGCAUUUUUAGUAAGGAGACUGCAUAAUAUAAUGUUUAAAUACAAGUGCAUUUGGCUGUUAGAAUGUGUGGACCAGUGAGAGGGGAAGACAUGACCAAAUAAUAGUAUCGGGGACAAAAAUCACAGUCGCAAGGAGGUGCUAAGCUAGCAUAUGUGUCUUGUAUAAGCGAUAAUACCUUAAAAUAUGUCAUGUGCAUAGAAACGGGCCAGAUUGAUUUGAAUUUUUAAUAUUCGAAUAAGAGAUUUCAUUGUGUCAUUGUUCAUUUCUCAUGUUUUUCAAUUGCAGUGUUUACUCCUUAGCGUUUCACUGCAGUAUUGUUUUCUAACUUAAAAGUUUGAGAUCAGUUUAACAAAUGAUGUUUUCUUUUCAUUUUUGUUGUACGUCCAAGUACUUAGACGUGGCAUGGAAUGAACUGGUUUUCCUUUUAAUGGUUGCCUUUAGAAUCGGAUCACUGACCAUGGAGCCUGCAAGAUGUUCAGUGUCCAUGGCCGUUGGCUGGUGCACAGUUUGUCACCAUGGAUGGCAAGCGGCAAACCUGGUUUUGGUCUCAACCACUGUUUUUAUGAAGGAUUUGACUUGAGUUAUAUAACAAUCUCUGACAUGUUGCAGAGAUUGUGUUUUCUAAUUUUAUGAAAGUAACAAGUCAGCUUAUUAAUAUAUAAUAUAUAUAAUUAUUUAAUUAUCAGAAUAUCUGCGGGUUUUCAGUUGUAACAUCUGUUGCAAAUUUGUUUGAAAAUUGACAUUUGUUCCAAUAUGGUUUUCAAGUGUUUAUUUUCGAAAUCUGUCAUGUUAAAUAUUGAAGAUUGUAAACUUGUAACGGUUGGUUUUUCAUUGUUUCGACAGAAUGGGAUGCAUUUUUAAUAUGCUGACUGUUAAGGAAAAUGUUUUCUGCUUUCGUUGUUGGUAUAUAUAAUAUAUAUAUUUUUUUAUUAUUUUUUAAUUCAAGUGUCUUCAAAUUUUAACAAGACUGGUUUUUUUCUUUUUGUUUUGGUUUUUUGAGGUUACCAAGGAAGGUCAUGUAUUAAUAUUUUUAUUGUAAUUUGUUUAAGCUAAACUAUUUUUUGAACAGAAAGUUUUAUUGUGAAGGCUGUCGUUAUUUGUUCAUCUUUGUUUUCUUAAGAUUCAGUAUUUUCUGAGUGUUGGUAUGCAUUUAUUACCUGUUAACCUUCUUUUGUUUUAAUAUAUAUAAAGUUGCAAAUGUGUGUUUUAAUGUCUUCAUUGAAGAUGGCAGUUUAUGCAGAGGAAAACUUCACAUAUGUAAGUGCCUAUUGGCUGUGGUUUUUGAGGGGGAAAGCACAAUGUUAUCUGGAGGUUUCAUUUCUAAUUUAUUGAUUUUUAAUAUUUCAGGGUAUGUAUUUGUCUUAACAUAUUGGCUAGUUGUAUAUAUGUAGUGUUAUUUAAUUUUUAAGCUUGACUGGUACUGAAAUUAUUUUGUGUUGUGCACUUAUCCAAUUGUUUUUCUAUUGUGUUUGGUAUUGCAAUCACCGUUCGACCUCUACAACACGGCAUUGGAGUGUGUGGUAGGCGCUUUCUCGAAUGCACCUCCUUUUGGAUCAUCAAGUUUGAGGUCUUGGAACUUGGGAAGAGAACAAAUACCAGUGUCACAAUUUGUGGUUUGAUCGAUGUGGUGGAAACUGUUGUUACAAAAAAAGAAAGAAAAAAAAAGAGGAGUCUUUUUAAAAUUUGCAGUAUUCUUGUAACAGUUUGCAAACAGUAUUGUUGAUGGUCACAUUUUCAAUGGGGUGUUUGCUGAAGAAAACCGUUUGAAGAAAUACUGUGUUAUUGUCACUAAUGUAUUGAGCACAGCCAACAUUGGUGCAAGUUGAUAUUCAUGGAUGCAUGGCAGGAAAAACAUGGUUUGAUUGGCUGAAGGCAUGGAAUUUCAACUGAUUUCGUGCUCCACUGGUUUGAAAGGGGACGGCAGUUAGGUAUUUUGGUCCAGGAAGAUCGUUUUGCUUGUAUCAAAGUUGGUCGAUCUUUCGUUGGAGAAAGAAUCCUGAUUGCAGUGAAAUGAGGUUUUCUGUGAACUGUUUGUGAUAGGUCCCCUUUGGAUGAGAAGCUAGAGAUAUUGGAUUGUGGGUCACAGGAUGGAACUGACAAGGAGGUCUGCCGUGUCAUGAAGUACACCGUUGAGAGGAGAUACAUUCUUAUUCUGGGACUAGAGGCGCUGUGGACUAGUGUUCCCAUGACGACAUGGAGGGAUGGUUUAGUAGAUGGGCGUACAGUGCCUGCAGAUAGCGUUGUGAUAAACAGAAUCGGUCUACAGUGCAAUCAUCAUUAACUGUCAUUGUGAUGGUGGUGAUGGACAUAAGAUAGAUGCCAGGGAAUUGUGGAUUCCUGCAUAGACUUGUGGUUGUUGUAAGAAUCAAGUGGACUGUAUGUGAUGCCAGGGAGUCACCAAUGCCUGCGUGGACCAUUGUGGUUGUUGAGAAUAGAUGGACUGUAUGUGAUGCCAGGGAGUUAUGCAUGUCUGCAUGGACUGUUGUGGUUGUUAUAACAAUCAAAUGGACUGUAUGUGAUGCUAGGAAGACAGAUGUCUGUGUGGAGUGGUGUGGUUGUUAUAAGAAUUAAAUGGACUCUUUGAAGUCAGAGAGUCAUCAGUGUGGAAUACAGUGUUGUGAUUGUUAUGAACAUUAAAUUGACUGCAGCAUGGAAGGGACCAAGCCUCAUGAAUUUCCCAUUCUUACCUUCACAAAAUAAAUUUGAUAUUUGUAGAUGGCAAUUUAUUGAACAGGCUACAGAAUUAUACACUUACUAUCCAUGUGCUGAGGUGCAUUAAACAAACAUUCCAAUCAA
This is an RNA transcript of Gigantopelta aegis, 5794 nucleotides long. It is a transcript of the gene named myelin expression factor 2-like, with no coding region annotated. The record is from RefSeq and is a predicted model, not a curated record. The transcript is spliced from 16 exons. NCBI's taxonomy places the organism in Eukaryota, Metazoa, Mollusca, Gastropoda, Neomphalida, Peltospiridae.